CGCAGUCCCCCAGGCCGCCCGGCACGAGAGGAAAGCUGCCACUCCCCCGGCGAGUGGUGGUCGCCUCGGGCAAGGUCCCUCGAUGGCUCCGCUCAACCGCUCGCUUCGGAGGUUUACGGUUUAGGCACUCGAUUUGUUCCAGACAUCCGUUGAGUGGCCGGGUUCUGUACUUCAGGCCAGCUUGAUGACUUCCCUUGUGUAUGUUUGUGCUCUCCCGCAUUUUUGACAGGCAGCAUUUCUGAUGUUCCUCAACUGCUGCAUACUGUUCCCUUGGUCGAUUUCGUCGUAUUCCGCGGGUGAUGUUGAUUUUUUGUCUUCUCGUUUGGAGGUGAAGUACCAGAACGUCUUAUAUUUUGGAACCGAGCUAGUAUUUCUUAAUUAAUAGCUUGUGUUGAUGAAUUAAUGCAUACAAGGAAUCUACCUUUUCUGCCUUGCAAA
This is a long non-coding RNA of Hordeum vulgare subsp. vulgare (domesticated barley), 438 nucleotides long. RefSeq lists it as uncharacterized. Lineage: Eukaryota; Viridiplantae; Streptophyta; Magnoliopsida; Poales; Poaceae. The record is from RefSeq and is a predicted model, not a curated record. The transcript is spliced from 2 exons.